CAGCAGCCACGGUAAUACGAAGGGGGCUAGCGUUGCUCGGAAUGACUGGGCGUAAAGGGCGCGUAGGCGGCGGCCAAAGUCAGGCGUGAAAUUCCCGGGCUCAACCUGGGGGCUGCGUUUGAUACUUGGUUGCUUGAGUGGGGAAGAGGGUCGUGGAAUUCCCAGUGUAGAGGUGAAAUUCGUAGAUAUUGGGAAGAACACCGGUGGCGAAGGCGGCGACCUGGUCCUUGACUGACGCUGAGGCGCGAAAGCGUGGGGAGCAAACAGGAUUAGAUACCCGGGUAGUCCCUGUCUCUUAUAC
Molecule: ribosomal RNA, 301 nt
Filed under: uncultured bacterium
Lineage: Bacteria
Description: partial 16S ribosomal RNA
Rfam family: Bacterial small subunit ribosomal RNA
Source: RNAcentral